AAGCUAAACGUAGAUGGAGCACGGUGGGUGGUCACUGAACAUUUUGACGAGCACAACCACAAACUCAUAAAGAAGUUUGACCUGGUAAAAUUUCUGACCGCCCACAGAGUAUUCACCCCCCUUGAGAAGAAAUUCAUAAAGCUGCUACAUGAUUGUAACGUCGGUCCAUCAAGAAUGGUCCAGAUACUAUCACUCAUCCACAGCAAAAAAGGGACUCUGAGUAGCAUGCCCUACAUACCAGCUGACGUCACAAACCUAAAGGCAAAGUACCAUAGAGAGAGCAAGUUGGCUGACAUAGAGGCCACAAUGGCCUACUUCGAUGAGAAAGCGAAGGAAGAUCCAGAUUUCUUCUACAGGAUAAGGUUGGACGAUGAGGACUGUGUCAGGAACAUGUAUUGGGUGGAUGGUGCUGCAAGGAGAGCCUACAAACAUUUCCGAGAUUGCAUCUCAUUCGAUGCGACGUAUCUCACUAAUAUGUACAAGAUGGCAUGCGCUCCAUUCAUAGGAAUAAAUAACCACAACACGAAUGGGUACGUUUGGCUGUUCAAGACCUUCUUGGAGUGCAUGGAUGGACUUGCUCCAAUGAACAUAAUAACAAACCAGGGUUUUAGCAUGCGUGCAGGCAUAGAGAAGGUCUUUCCAUUGGCAGUGCACAGGCACUGCAGGUGGCACAUUAUAAAGAAGGUUGAGGAGACGCUAGGACCGUUCUUUGCUACUACACAAUGCAGCGAGGGGUUCAAUGCUGUUUUGAAGCAGUACGAUGGCAUUGUGUGUUGUCACAUACUAAAAGUAAUGGACAUGAACAAUGUGACACAGAUGCCUCGCCAUUUCAUAAGGCGGCGAUGGACUUGGGACGCUAACGACGCGUUGGCGCCCAGACAACAAGCGCAGCUGGCUGUGCAUGACGAGAGACCUGAGUCAACCAUGGAAGCCGUGAGGCAUGUUGUGCUGACAAAGAACUAUGUUGGGCUAAUUGAUGAAGCGUGCAAGAGUGAUGAGACAGUGAGAGUCGCAGAAAAACACAGGAAGGCCCUGAAAAGAGAGCUUGAUGAGAUCAAGAAGAGGAAAGCUGAGGAAGCCUUACACAGGUUCCCCCGCACAUCAAGUGUGCCUUCGUCCAUGGGGCCAUCAUCUGAAAACUCGAAGAUAGGAUCUGAAAUAGCAAGCACACAAACCCAGGUCAGGAACCCGCCCCAUUCCAUCACAAAGGGGCGUCCAAAAGAGAUAAGGUACAAAUCGGGAUUGGAGAUUCAAGCAAAACAUAAGAAAACAAAGAAAGGGACGGGCAAUCCGUAA
Molecule: ribosomal RNA, 1296 nt
Filed under: Triticum aestivum (bread wheat)
Lineage: Eukaryota; Viridiplantae; Streptophyta; Magnoliopsida; Poales; Poaceae
Description: partial small subunit ribosomal RNA
Source: RNAcentral